RNAcentral lists this long non-coding RNA (483 nucleotides) under Phascolarctos cinereus (koala). RNAcentral describes it as "lncRNA (ENSPCIG00000008282.2)". The record is from RNAcentral. Lineage: Eukaryota; Metazoa; Chordata; Mammalia; Diprotodontia; Phascolarctidae.
AAAUACUUCCACUGGAUAACAGAAGAUUUACAGUCUUGGUCAUCAGAAGGAAUGCCACACUAAUGAAAUCAAGGAUCCUUAAGCCAUGUUCGCCCUGAUUAGCUUCUGUUCCACUGGGCAGCCUGAUGAACACACUGUGCUGACCGUGGAUACAUGUUCCCAGUCUAACUGUGACCCACAGAGACAUCGUGAGAUAGGUCAGCUUGGGAAGCAGAUAUCCCAAGGACAAGAGAAAGUGGGGUCCAAGAUCUACAGCUAAUGGAAAAAGGCAAGGGAACCAAGCUGGAAUGCCAUGUGGACAAAGGAAAACAAAUGAAGAUGUCCCUGAAUGAUAUACAAAUGGGGAACAGAUAAUAUGGAGCAAUAGUUUGACAGACUGUGGUUGCCAUACUGGGGGGGGGGGGAAAGGGUUAAACCUCAAAGUGAAUAUCUUAGCCAUACCACAGAGGAUGUUGAAGAGUAAGAUUAGAAGUAAUGCAGCAG